RNAcentral lists this ribosomal RNA (468 nucleotides) under uncultured bacterium. Its description in RNAcentral is "partial 16S ribosomal RNA". It matches the Rfam family "Bacterial small subunit ribosomal RNA", at positions 28 to 507 of the family's 1533-position model. The record is from RNAcentral.
GACGAACGCUGGCGGCGUGCUUAACACAUGCAAGUCGAACGGAAAGGCCCUGCUUUUGUGGGGCGCUCGAGUGGCGAACGGGUGAGUAACACGUGAGUAACCUGCCCUUGACUUUGGGAUAACUUCAGGAAACUGGGGCUAAUACCGGAUAGGAGCUCCUGCUGCAUGGUGGGGGUUGGAAAGUUUCGGCGGUUGGGGAUGGACUCGCGGCUUAUCAGCUUGUUGGUGGGGGAGUGGCUUACCAAGGCUUUGACGGGUAGCCGGCCUGAGAGGGUGACCGGCCACAUUGGGACUGAGAUACGGCCCAGACUCCUACGGGAGGCAGCAGUGGGGAAUAUUGCACAAUGGGCGGAAGCCUGAUGCAGCAACGCCGCGUGCGGGAUGACGGCCUUCGGGUUGUAAACCGCUUUCGCCUGUGACGAAGCGUGAGUGACGGUAAUGGGUAAAGAAGCACCGGCUAACUACGUG